RNAcentral lists this transfer RNA (74 nucleotides) under Azoarcus sp. RNAcentral's name for it is "tRNA-Ile". It matches the Rfam family "tRNA". From Rfam's summary of the family: Transfer RNA (tRNA) molecules are approximately 80 nucleotides in length. Their secondary structure includes four short double-helical elements and three loops (D, anti-codon, and T loops). The record is from RNAcentral. Lineage: Bacteria; Pseudomonadati; Pseudomonadota; Betaproteobacteria; Rhodocyclales; Zoogloeaceae. RNAcentral also lists the same sequence under 2 other names.
GGGCCUAUAGCUCAGUUGGUUAGAGCAGCGGACUCAUAAUCCGUUGGUCGCAGGUUCAAGUCCUGCUGGGCCCA